CUACUUACGAGAAAUUGAAUACAAUUAGAUCGUUGCUCGCUGAAUUCCGUUAUGGAUAUCCGAUCUCGCUAAAAUCGUGUUUGACUGUUAAUGUCAAACUGCCAAAUUAAAAACGAGUUUUAUAAUCAAACUAUGAAUUAACAUAACUGAAUAAAAGCAAAAAAUAUGCCAUUUUACCAUUUGUUGUAACCGAGUAUUGCGAUGCAAAAGGUACGCUUUAUAUGUGGGUAUUUGGUAUCGACAAUGUUAAAUGUGUUAAAUCGAGAAUGGUAUUAAGUAUACGAUGAAUUUAUAGUACAAUGUAAUGUAGCUAUUAUGCCGACGGAUUAAAUGUAUAAACACGGUUUUUUUGUUCUCUUUACAAAACGUAAAGAACCGGGCCGCCCGUAUCUCCCGCCUAUCUCAUCUCCGUCGUUCCAAUGCUGACUGUCGCUGACGAUUCGUGCAUCGUUCUUCGUGCAGUGUCCAGUGGUGUCCAGACGCGAGUAGGGAGUAGUACAAUCGAUUUCAACAUAACUUUGUCGAAACGAAACGUACCGAACCUUAUUAUACGUUGUAGGUGAAAAGUAACGAAUGUUGGUUGAUUCCAUGGAUCCCGUUUGCAGAGAGAGGAGAAGGAUGAGCAAGCGAAGACGUCUGCAGAGGUUAUCGAAUGUGUCAAUAAAGGGAGAAGAGAAGAAUAAGUGCUCGAAGAUGUUUGCGGAGGUUAUAUGAUGGGAAAUGUGAAUCGAGGUUAGCUUAUGGCUCCUUGGAGUGGAGUCUUUUUUUUUUGCUUUUUUUGUGCUCAAGAUUGUGCCUCGAAGCUUAUACGAGAGAAGAAACCUCUAUAGGAGUGCCUUUUGCUAGUACGAUCGCAAAACUCGUCUUGGACAACAAGUGGGUGUUUGCACCGAUCUUGAUUGUUUGUUGACGAGUGCAGUUGUUGGUACGUAGUGUCAGUGAGAUACAGAGUGCGUGUGUGAAUCAGAGUGUGGAACAUGAUACAUUG
Long non-coding RNA from Hylaeus anthracinus, 988 nucleotides. RefSeq lists it as uncharacterized. The transcript is spliced from 3 exons. NCBI's taxonomy places the organism in Eukaryota, Metazoa, Arthropoda, Insecta, Hymenoptera, Colletidae. The record is from RefSeq and is a predicted model, not a curated record.